Molecule: transfer RNA, 68 nt
Filed under: Athalia tanaoserrula
Lineage: Eukaryota; Metazoa; Arthropoda; Insecta; Hymenoptera; Athaliidae
Also listed under: 1 other name
Description: tRNA-Gln
Source: RNAcentral
UAUAUAUUAGUGUAUGAUGCACAAAAAAAUUUGAAUUUUUUAGAAAUAGUUUAAUUCUAUUAUUAUAA